CCUACGGGAGGCAGCAGUGAGGAAUAUUGGUCAAUGGGCGCUAGCCUGAACCAGCCAAGUAGCGUGAAGGAUGACUGCCCUAUGGGUUGUAAAUAUCUUUUAUAGGGGAAUAAAGUGCAGUAUGUAUACUUCUGUGCAUUUACGUUAUGAAUAAGGAUCGGCUAACUUCGUGCCAGCAGCCGCGGUAAUACGGUGGAUCCGAGCGUUACGCGGAUUUAUUGGGUUUAACGUGAGCCCAGGCGGGUUGUUAAGUCAGUUGUGAAAGUUUGCGGCUCAACCGUAAAAUUGCAGUUGAUACUGGCAUCCUUGAGUACAGUAGAGGUAGGCAGAAUUCGUGGUGUAGCGGUGAAAUGCUUAGAUAUCACGAAGAACCCCGAUUGCGAAGGCAGCCUGCUGGACUGUAACUGACGCUGAUGCUCGAAAGUGUGGGUAUCAAACAGGAUUAGAUACCCUUGUAGUC
This 460-nucleotide ribosomal RNA is filed under the name uncultured bacterium. RNAcentral describes it as "partial 16S ribosomal RNA". It matches the Rfam family "Bacterial small subunit ribosomal RNA", at positions 338 to 795 of the family's 1533-position model. The record is from RNAcentral.